Anguilla anguilla (European eel) is the source of this 1062-nucleotide long non-coding RNA. RefSeq lists it as uncharacterized. Lineage: Eukaryota; Metazoa; Chordata; Actinopteri; Anguilliformes; Anguillidae. The transcript has 3 exons. The record is from RefSeq and is a predicted model, not a curated record.
CAGCAACACAGAGAAAUCAACAUGAUCAGACGUCUUCUAAUUUUCGCUGUCUUUUUGCUAUCAGUGAGAGGUGUGCGGAGUAAUGUGGCUAUAACCCCCAAAAUUCUCUGGGGUAAUUUGGGGGACCUGGCCCUGAUGAACUGCAACCACACCUUGGGAGCAGCUUACAAUCGGAUGUACUGGUACAAACAGAACCCACCUGAGGGUAUUCAGCUCAUAGUGUUUACACUUCCCAAUACAAACCCUGAAUUUGGGGAUUUUAGCAAAGACAGGUAUGUGGCAGAGAAAGCUGUGGCUGAAAGAGGCUCUCUCACGGUGAAGAAGCUGGAGGCAGAAGACAGCGGCACAUAUUUCUGUGCAGUCAGUGAACACGGCCCUGCAGACUCAUUGGCUGGGUGAACAUAAACCUCCCCGUGCCAGUCUCACUGUGACAGGGGAGGAGCAGACCUGAAAGGAAGCCAAGAACACAAACGGCAGUGAGGCUCUCCUGCAGGGGGGUGUAAAGCUUCAUAAACGGACAGACAUGUCAUUUAAAAAAUUAAUUUUUCUCCUGUCUCCUCCUCCCCCCACCCCUUCCCCUCCAGAGAACAUCCAUGGGCAGCCAUGCAGCGUUCUUCUCUCUCUGGCUCUGAUGCAUCAAGAUGAUCAGACUUGUCCUCACAUUCACUGUGUCUCUGAUCUGUCUGGCAGCAGAACUGACACGAAGCAUCAAUGUUCAGCUGCUGCCCGUCAGACUUCUCAAAAACCCUGGGCAGUCCUCCGCUCUCAGCUGCAGCUGUGAUGACCCGAGCUACGUUCGCAUGUACUGGUACCAGCAGCCUGAAGGGGAAGGAAGGCUGAAGCUCAUUGGCACCCUUUACCGACAGAGCCUCACCCCUGGAGACCGUUUCAGUGACAGGUUUAAGAUAUCAGGAGACGCAACGAAAACAGGAACGCUGGAGAUAUCCAACCUGACGUCUGAAGAUGCUGCAGUUUAUUUCUGUGCCAUGAGCAUAGCACGUUGCUGCAGACGCCCCUCUCAUCUCUGCAGAAACCUCUUUCUUAGCUGCAAUCGCCCUUACA